RNAcentral lists this long non-coding RNA (2415 nucleotides) under Mytilus galloprovincialis (Mediterranean mussel). Lineage: Eukaryota; Metazoa; Mollusca; Bivalvia; Mytilida; Mytilidae. The record is from RNAcentral.
CAACUUUUCAUGAAGCAAAUGCGUGAGAUUUGGUCAAAAUUGAAAAGAUCAAAGAGAAAAAAACAAUAGAUCACAGGAAAAUGCCGCCAAAAAAGCAUGAACAUGCGUGAGACUUGGCAGAGCUGGUACUAUAGAUUUUAUUUCCUAAAAUGCUCAAUGGCCAACAAGGAUAAGGAACAGCCAUGUUUAACUAAAUGAGAUUUAUGAAUAAAUGAAAUGUUUUAAUGUUAGAUUAAUGUAGGUUAUCUCUAGUUACAGAGAAAAGGAAUAAAGAUUCACUUAAUGGAUGUAGAAUUCAUAUUCUUUGUACAGGGUCUACCUAUAGUAUUCCCUUGAACUUUUUGAAGAUUUGGUGAAAUAGUUUCAGAUUAGAUUGAUUUUUUUACAAAUUAGAAUCAAGAUCGACCUCUUGCAGCAAUGUUUAUUUAAAAUAUUGGGAUGAACAAUCGUUCCAUACAUUGUUAGUGGCAAGUUAGAACAUCCAUGUUUCAAAGAAAGAUAAAAUUAUGAUUUCCCAUGGGUUUCAAUGCAAACAUAUACUGCAUCUUAACCCAUUUUAGGUGUUUGAUGAACUCCAGACACCACUGUCCUAUACAUGUCCGUUUUUAAAAGCCUUAAUUUGACCUUGACCUUCGGUGUGUGACCUACAAGUCAGUAGAACUUUUCUUUCCAUUGUGUUUGACGGUGAAAUUUGAACAUAUAUACAAGCCUUUGAAGCGUUUAAUUUAGCAUCUGGAACCACUUUUCAGCAUACAUUUCAAUAUACUGCUUUUAGUUAUAGUUACCCUGACCUUUGACCUCAUAAUCAAGAGUGAUCUGUGACCAUGAAUGUACAAUUGCAGUUAGGUCUAUUGGAUUUAGCAUCUGGCCACUGAAAUGGCAGUUUGGGAAUAAUAAUACAUUGUACAAGUCAAAAUAACUGUUCAGGUAUUGCUUUUCAGAACAGGCAGUGAAACUAACCAGAAGAUCACAACCAGGUUGUGUUUUCUGCCAAUGAACAUUUUAUUAAGAUAGGACAAAUAAUAAUUUGGUAUUGAAAGAAAAAAUGCUAAUGCAGACAAAUGACUUGUACAAAAACAUCACAGCAUUAUUGCUUGCACUGCGAAGUUAAUUGUUACUACACAUUAAGCUGAUUCCUAAACCCUAUAUAAAAUUCAUCUUGAUUGUGAUACAUGUAUUGCAUAUGGUUAGGUUCAUACAAUGCUAAUGUAGAAAUCCUUUAAAACUUCAGAACCAAUUUAAAUUUUGCAGCUGAAUGUAAACAAACUAUAGAGCCAUAUAGAUGAAGAGAGAUUAAAACCAAUGAAACAUAAGUCAAUGAGGUCACAAAAAAUAAUCUGACUUUGUAGCAAAUUGUAACAGUUGAAUAACCUCAUGAAUAACAUUUAGACAUUAUCUUAGAUCAACAUUUCAAAAAAUCAUUGCUUAUAGACUAUAUCCCAUAGAAACUUGUUAUGUGACAUUUUAUUACAUGUAUUUUACUGAAUAUAACAUGUCUUAAUUCAAACGGAUGUCUGACUCUCAAAUUUCUCAUGAAAAUAGAAGAUUUACUAUAAGAAAAUAAUAUGAAAGCUUAGUUUGGACAUGCAAUAAAAAAAAACUCUAACUUUUGGAAUGACUCUUCACAAAAAUAUGUAUAGAAACCCUUGGACCCACAUUCAUAACUUGGGAUACAAUUUACAAACUAGAUACCCUAAGGAACAUUCAGUUAAAGUUUGGAAGUAUUUGGCCCAGUAGUUUCAGAGGAGAAGAUUUUUGUAAAAGAUUACUAAGAUUUACGAAAAAUGGUUAAAAAUUGACUAUAAAGGGCAAUAACUCCUAAAGGGGUCAACUGACCAUUUCCGUCAUGUUGACUUAUUUGUAAAUCUUACUUUGUUGAACAUUAUUCCUGUUUACAGUUUAUCUCUAUCUAUAAUAAUAUUCAAGAUAAUAACCAAAAACAGCAAAAUUUCCUUAAAAUUACCAAUUCAGGGCAGCAACCCAACAACAGGUUGUCUGAUUCAUCUGAAAAUUUCAGGGCAGAUAGAUCUUGACCUGAUAAACAAUAUUACCCCAUGUCAGAUUUGCUCUAAAUGCUUUGGUUUUUGAGUUAUAAGCCAAAAACUGCAUUUGACCCCUAUGUUCUAUUUUUAGCAAUGGCGACCAUGUUUGUUGAUAGAUCAUAACUUGGGAUACAAUUUACAAACUAGAUACCCUAAGGAACAUUCAAUUAAAGUUUGGAAGUAUUUGGCCCAGUAGUUUCAGAGGAGAAGAUUUUUGUAAAAGAUUACUAAGAUUUACGAAAAAUGGUUAAAAAUUGACUAUAAAGGGCAAUAAUUCCUAAAGGGGUCAACUGACCAUUUCCGUCAUGUUGACUUAUUUGUAAAUCUUACUUUGCUGAACAUUAUUCCUGUUUACAGUUUAUCUCUAUCUAUA